This 253-nucleotide ribosomal RNA is filed under the name uncultured bacterium. Its description in RNAcentral is "partial 16S ribosomal RNA". It matches the Rfam family "Bacterial small subunit ribosomal RNA", at positions 524 to 776 of the family's 1533-position model. The record is from RNAcentral.
UACGUAGGUGGCAAGCGUUGUCCGGAUUUACUGGGCGUAAAGAGCGCGCAGGCGGCUGGUCAAGUCCGAUGUGAAAUCUCCCGGCUCAACUGGGAAACUGCAUCGGAAACUGAUCGGCUUGAAGGUGGGAGAGGGUAGUGGAAUUCCCGGUGUAGUGGUGAAAUGCGUAGAUAUCGGGAGGAACACCAGUGGCGAAGGCGGGUUGCUGGGCUGACACUGACGCUGAGGCGCGAAAGCUAGGGGAGCGAACGGG